GAUGAACGCUGGCGGCGUGCCUAAUACAUGCAAGUCGAGCGAACAGACGAGGAGCUUGCUCCUCUGACGUUAGCGGCGGACGGGUGAGUAACACGUGGAUAACCUACCUAUAAGACUGGGAUAACUUCGGGAAACCGGAGCUAAUACCGGAUAAUAUAUUGAACCGCAUGGUUCAAUAGUGAAAGACGGUUUUGCUGUCACUUAUAGAUGGAUCCGCGCCGCAUUAGCUAGUUGGUAAGGUAACGGCUUACCAAGGCAACGAUGCGUAGCCGACCUGAGAGGGUGAUAGGCCACACUGGAACUGAGACACGGUCCAGACUCCUACGGGAGGCAGCAGUAGGGAAUCUUCCGCAAUGGGAGAAAGCCUGACGGGGCAACGCCGCGUGAGUGAUGAAGGUCUUCGGAUCGUAAAACUCUGUUAUUAGGGAAGAACAAAUGUGUAAGUAACUAUGCACGUCUUGACGGUACCUAAUCAGAAAGCCACGGCUAACUACGUG
RNAcentral lists this ribosomal RNA (497 nucleotides) under uncultured bacterium. RNAcentral's name for it is "partial 16S ribosomal RNA". It matches the Rfam family "Bacterial small subunit ribosomal RNA", at positions 28 to 507 of the family's 1533-position model. The record is from RNAcentral.